GUCACUCUCUGAUUCGAG
RNAcentral lists this small nuclear RNA (18 nucleotides) under Arabidopsis thaliana (thale cress). RNAcentral describes it as "snRNA_00902". The record is from RNAcentral. Lineage: Eukaryota; Viridiplantae; Streptophyta; Magnoliopsida; Brassicales; Brassicaceae.